Molecule: transfer RNA, 73 nt
Filed under: Paramuricea clavata
Lineage: Eukaryota; Metazoa; Cnidaria; Anthozoa; Malacalcyonacea; Plexauridae
Rfam family: tRNA
About the family: Transfer RNA (tRNA) molecules are approximately 80 nucleotides in length. Their secondary structure includes four short double-helical elements and three loops (D, anti-codon, and T loops).
Source: Rfam by way of RNAcentral
GCCUCUGUAGCUCAGUUGGUUAGAGCGCUGCACCGGAAUCGCAGGGCCGUAGGUUCAAUUCCUACCAGAGGAC